AAAUUGAAGAGUUUGAUCAUGGCUCAGAUUGAACGCUGGCGGCAGGCCUAACACAUGCAAGUCGAACGGUAACAGGAAGCAGCUUGCUGCUUCGCUGACGAGUGGCGGACGGGUGAGUAAUGUCUGGGAAACUGCCUGAUGGAGGGGGAUAACUACUGGAAACGGUGGCUAAUACCGCAUAACGUCGCAAGACCAAAGAGGGGGACCUUCGGGCCUCUUGCCAUCAGAUGUGCCCAGAUGGGAUUAGCUAGUUGGUGAGGUAAUGGCUCACCAAGGCGACGAUCCCUAGCUGGUCUGAGAGGAUGACCAGCCACACUGGAACUGAGACACGGUCCAGACUCCUACGGGAGGCAGCAGUGGGGAAUAUUGCACAAUGGGCGCAAGCCUGAUGCAGCCAUGCCGCGUGUAUGAAGAAGGCCUUCGGGUUGUAAAGUACUUUCAGCGGGGAGGAAGGUGUUGCGGUUAAUAACCGCAGCAAUUGACGUUACCCGCAGAAGAAGCACCGGCUAACUCCGUGCCAGCAGCCGCGGUAAUACGGAGGGUGCAAGCGUUAAUCGGAAUUACUGGGCGUAAAGCGCACGCAGGCAGUCUGUCAAGUCGGAUGUGAAAUCCCCGGGCUCAACCUGGGAACUGCAUUCGAAACUGGCAGGCUUGAGUCUUGUAGAGGGGGGUAGAAUUCCAGGUGUAGCGGUGAAAUGCGUAGAGAUCUGGAGGAAUACCGGUGGCGAAGGCGGCCCCCUGGACAAAGACUGACGCUCAGGUGCGAAAGCGUGGGGAGCAAACAGGAUUAGAUACCCUGGUAGUCCACGCCGUAAACGAUGUCUACUUGGAGGUUGUGCCCUUGAGGCGUGGCUUCCGGAGCUAACGCGUUAAGUAGACCGCCUGGGGAGUACGGCCGCAAGGUUAAAACUCAAAUGAAUUGACGGGGGCCCGCACAAGCGGUGGAGCAUGUGGUUUAAUUCGAUGCAACGCGAAGAACCUUACCUGGUCUUGACAUCCACAGAACUUUCCAGAGAUGGA
This 1020-nucleotide ribosomal RNA is filed under the name Salmonella enterica. Its description in RNAcentral is "bacterial SSU rRNA". It matches the Rfam family "Bacterial small subunit ribosomal RNA", at positions 1 to 1010 of the family's 1533-position model. The record is from RNAcentral. Lineage: Bacteria; Pseudomonadati; Pseudomonadota; Gammaproteobacteria; Enterobacterales; Enterobacteriaceae.